AUUGAACGCUGGCGGCAGGCCUAACACAUGCAAGUCGAGCGAGAAAGCCCUUCGGGGUGAGUAGAGCGGCGGACGGGUGAGUAACGCGUAGGAAUCUACCUGGUAGUGGGGGACAACAUGGUGAAAACCAUGCUAAUACCGCAUACGCCCCAUGGGGGAAAGCGGGGGACCUUCGGGCCUCGCGCUAUCAGAUGAGCCUGCGUUGGAUUAGCUUGUUGGUGAGGUAAAGGCUCACCAAGGCGACGAUCCAUAGCUGGUCUGAGAGGAUGAUCAGCCACACUGGGACUGAGACACGGGCCCAGACUCCUACGGGGAGGCAGCAGUGGGGAAUAUUGCGCAAUGGGCGAAAGCCUGACGCAGCCAUGCCGCGUGUGUGAAGAAGGCCCUAGGGUUGUAAAGCACUUUCAAUUGGGAAGAAAGGUUGCAGGUUAAUAACCUGUAGCUGUGACAUUACCUUUAGAAGAAGCACCGGCUAACUCCGUGCCAGCCGCCGC
This 494-nucleotide ribosomal RNA is filed under the name uncultured bacterium. Its description in RNAcentral is "bacterial SSU rRNA". It matches the Rfam family "Bacterial small subunit ribosomal RNA", at positions 30 to 518 of the family's 1533-position model. The record is from RNAcentral.